RNAcentral lists this transfer RNA (73 nucleotides) under Pseudocercospora pini-densiflorae CBS 125139. RNAcentral describes it as "tRNA-Gly (TCC) (tRNA-Gly-TCC-1-1)". It matches the Rfam family "tRNA". Rfam says of the family: Transfer RNA (tRNA) molecules are approximately 80 nucleotides in length. Their secondary structure includes four short double-helical elements and three loops (D, anti-codon, and T loops). Lineage: Eukaryota; Fungi; Ascomycota; Dothideomycetes; Mycosphaerellales; Mycosphaerellaceae. The record is from RNAcentral.
GUCGUGUUAGUGUAGUGGUUCAACACAUCAGACCUCCAAUCUGAAGGCAGGAGUUCGAAUCUCCUACACGACA